Molecule: ribosomal RNA, 332 nt
Filed under: uncultured eukaryote
Lineage: Eukaryota
Description: partial 18S ribosomal RNA
Rfam family: Eukaryotic small subunit ribosomal RNA
Source: RNAcentral
CCCUUAGAUGUUCUGGACCGCACGCGCGCUACACUGAUGCAUUCAACGAGUAAUCUUUGACCUUGGUCGACAGAUCUGGGUAAUCUUUUGAAAUUGCAUCGUGAUGGGGCUUGCGGGUUGCAAUUACCCGCACCAACGAGGAAUUCCUAGUAAACGCAAGUCAUCAACUUGCAUUGAUUACGUCCCUGCCCUUUGUACACACCGCCCGUCGCUCCUACCGAUUGAGCGGUCCGGUGAAGACUCAGGAGAUGGGCGCGUGCUUGGUUCGCCAACUGCGCUGCCUGCCAAAUUUGUCUAAACCUUAUCGCUUAGAGGAAGGAGAAGUCGUAACA